Long non-coding RNA from Schistocerca cancellata (South American locust), 594 nucleotides. RefSeq lists it as uncharacterized. The record is from RefSeq and is a predicted model, not a curated record. The transcript has 3 exons. Lineage: Eukaryota; Metazoa; Arthropoda; Insecta; Orthoptera; Acrididae.
UUUAUAUAAUAACGAUAUGAUCAAAUACUCUCCUCUUGGCGUGCUAUCAUUUGCCAAAAUCUCAUUUUGAUAUCUGAAACCAUUUAUGAAAUAUGAGGAAUGUUGUGGAUAUUUCACUCUAGCUUUAUCGCUGGCACAGCGCCAUCACAAAUGGGUGUGCUCCACCAGAUCCGUUUUCUCGAUAUUGGUGACAGUUGGCAGGGCAAGAACCAAAAAUCCGAAGAUGAAGGAACCACUUCAUGGCAUUCACUUCAGAGUUGUUCCAGAGAUUCCACAGGCAGUAGACCAUUCCAUUCGCACCAUCAACAGAACAGACUAUGCUAACAGUAUACACCUUUGACAUCAUUGACAACUUGUUCUACCAAUGCUGGUGACUACUUUGAAGGACAGUAACAGGUGCAAAAUAUAUAUGACCUCACUUGUGGGAGAAGAUACAAUGGAAGAAAUAUCCAAGUCAUUGUAGAGCAGUUGCAGUUUGCAUCAAAACAAAGAAAACGGUGAAGUUUAUAUGUAUUAGUAUUGGACUUCCUGGAACUGUAGCACAACGAACCAAGGAAAAAAGAAUGUGGCUUGGACAGAUCUUAAAUGCACUGU